This 492-nucleotide ribosomal RNA is filed under the name uncultured bacterium. Its description in RNAcentral is "partial 16S ribosomal RNA". It matches the Rfam family "Bacterial small subunit ribosomal RNA", at positions 29 to 507 of the family's 1533-position model. The record is from RNAcentral.
AGUGAACGCUGGCGGUAGGCCUAACACAUGCAAGUCGAACGGCAGCACAGUAAGAGCUUGCUCUUACGGGUGGCGAGUGGCGGACGGGUGAGGAAUACAUCGGAAUCUACUUUUUCGUGGGGGAUAACGUAGGGAAACUUACGCUAAUACCGCAUACGACCUACGGGUGAAGGCAGGGGAUCUUCGGACCUUGCGCGAUUGAAUGAGCCGAUGUCGGAUUAGCUAGUUGGCGGGGUAAAGGCCCACCAAGGCGACGAUCCGUAGCUGGUCUGAGAGGAUGAUCAGCCGCACUGGAACUGAGACACGGUCCAGACUCCUACGGGAGGCAGCAGUGGGGAAUAUUGGACAAUGGGCGCAAGCCUGAUCCAGCCAUACCGCGUGGGUGAAGAAGGCCUUCGGGUUGUAAAGCCCUUUUGUUGGGAAAGAAAAGCAGCAGGUUAAUACCCCGCUGUUCUGACGGUACCCAAAGAAUAAGCACCGGCUAACUUCGUG